AAGUAAGAAGCAAAAAUUUGCACCUAAUUUCGACCUAGGAGAAUGACAUUAUUAGUCCUUACUUA
This 65-nucleotide transfer RNA is filed under the name Cryptocephalus vittatus. RNAcentral's name for it is "tRNA-Arg". The record is from RNAcentral. Lineage: Eukaryota; Metazoa; Arthropoda; Insecta; Coleoptera; Chrysomelidae.